UAGGAAGUAGUAGAACUAAGACAUGGGCCAUGGUUACAAGCCAUGAUGUGUCUGGUUAGGAUUGUCAUUUGACCUUCAUUCAUCCACAACUUAUCUGGCUACUACCAUGACUUAUGACCAACCAGCGUACGAGACAACUAAUUCCUGCUUUUAUUUCUAGCAGUUGUAGAUGCUUAAACAAAUGAUAUGUCUGGUUGUGUGAUAGUCAUUUGACCUUCAUCCAUCCACUGCUUAUCUGGCUGCUAGAAUGAGUUAUGACCAACCGGCAUAUGAGACAACUGUUCCAGCUUUUGUUUCUAGUAUUUGUAGUCUGUAGAUGCUUAAAUAAAUGGUGCUGCAUGAAGUAGAAAUACAAUUUAGGUAGCAGGGAAUCCACACCAUGUGCACAUAUAUGCAAAUGUUCUGGAGUUAUCAUGGAGAUUGAAAUUUCUUUAUAUGAGAAGCGUACAGGUGCAGGUGUAUAAACUGCUAAUAUGCAGACUGGAUUAGGAUUACACUUUUAGUAUGUGCGUCUGUAUGUAUGCAUGUGGUUAUAUGUAUGUCUAUGUGUAUGUGUUUAUGUGCAUAUGUAUGUGUGAAUUUGUAUGCGUAUAUGUGUAUGUAUAUGUCUAUGUAUGUUGGGGUGCGGGUGCGUGCGUGUGUGAGAGAGAGAGAGAGAGGGAGGGAGAGAGAAAUAGGGGUGAAAGUAGUAUAGAUAUUAUCCAUCCGAAUUUAUUUUCAUAUUGGAAUCAAUUCGAACGUGGAUAGAAAUUUAAGGAUCCGACUAAUAUGCAUAUCCGCAUUCAUAUCCGUGAAAGAAGCAGAGAUAUAGAUAUAGAUAGACAACUAUCCAAUUUAUAUCUGAAUAUUCGAAUUU
Molecule: long non-coding RNA, 856 nt
Filed under: Elaeis guineensis (African oil palm)
Lineage: Eukaryota; Viridiplantae; Streptophyta; Magnoliopsida; Arecales; Arecaceae
Description: long non-coding RNA (EGUI_LNC019933)
Source: RNAcentral